RNAcentral lists this ribosomal RNA (705 nucleotides) under uncultured archaeon. Its description in RNAcentral is "bacterial SSU rRNA". It matches the Rfam family "Archaeal small subunit ribosomal RNA", at positions 325 to 1031 of the family's 1478-position model. The record is from RNAcentral.
ACGGGGUGCAGCAGGCGCGAAAAUUUCGCAAUGCACGUAAGUGUGACGGAGGAAUUUGGAGUGCUUUCUCCUUUGGAGGGGGCUUUUACUAAGUCUAGACAUCUUAGAGAAUAAGUGGUGGGUAAGACGGGUGCCAGCCGCCGCGGUAAUACCCGCGCCACAAGUGGUGAUCACGUUUAUUGGGUUUAGAACGUUCGUAGCCGGCUCUAUAAGUUUCUGAUGAAAUCCUAUAGUCAACUGUAGGGCUUGUCAGGGAUACUGUAGAGCUUGGGACCGGGAGAGGCCAAGGGUAUUCCUGGGGUAGGUGUCAAAUCCUAUAAUCCCAGGAGGACCACCUGUGGCGAAGGCGCUUGGCUAGAACGGAUCCGACGGUGAGGGACGAAAGCUAGGGGAGCGAAGCGGAUUAGAUACCCGCGUAGUCCUAGCCGUAAACGAUGCCCACUAGACAUUGGCAACCUCAAGCGGGUUGUCAGAGUCGUAGGGAAACCGUUAAGUGGGCCACCUGGGGAGUACGGUCGCAAGACUGAAACUUAAGGGAAUUGGCGGGGGAGCACACAAGGGGUGGAGGCUGCGGUUCAAUUGGAUUCAACGCCAGGAACCUUACCAGAGGCGACAGCAGGAUGAAGGUCAGGUUAAAGGUCUUACCAGACAAGCUGAGAAGUGGUGCAUGGCCGUCGUCAGUUCGUGUCGUGAGAUGUCGACUUA